CUGAAAUAGAGUUGUUCAAAAUUUACACACACUCUUCCAGUUUCAUUUGAAUAACAAUGACCCGCGCUGACCUGACACGCCCCCCGAGCAGCGCUCCUGGAAAUUAACUGGAUAACAGGACGCCAAUAAUGACGCAACAUCCCCUCACAGACAGAUCUCAUGUGUCCAAACUCCAAACAGUCCUCUUGAGCUUUUCUGUUGCCUUUCAAUGGCCGUGGCGCUCUACAAGUCUCGACUUCACCUGCUUUCUUUUUUUCCCCCUCUUUUUCUUUUUCUUUUCACCACAUAGAAUCCAUGCAGUUGAGCCAGAUCUGUUGGGUUAUUCCACCUGCCAAGGAUUAUGUUAUAUGAGGACUGUCAGCGUCUCUUUGAUGCAACUUUUGGAUGGAGUGGAAGUCAACAGCAAUGACUUCAACAUGUGUCUAAUCAGAUGGUCGGCGUAUUGUGAACUGGAGCUGCUUUGUAGCUUUCAAACAUGGAUCAGCUUUUCUGAAUUAAGGACUCUGGCUGUAAAACAAAAAUUAAGUGCGGAUACAAGCUUUCAUUCACAGUGUAAGUCAUGACGGUUGAUAACGAAGCGAGUUAAAUGUGCUCUGUGUUCUGGAGAAUUUAAGGAUUGCUUGGUUUUUUGGCCCCCCACUGAAAAAUGUUCUGCUGCCUAAGAGUCCUACAUACAGUAUGAAUAGCCUCAAUGAGAGUGUAUUAUAUGUAUUUCUCUAAACAAAUCAUACUUAACAGACAGGACUUGUCUUGUGCUUUGCUGUGUUAUCUCAGAGAAAGGUAUGCAUGAAGAUGAAUUCUCACUGACGCAGAGAUAUCUGUUUAUAUGAUCGACUGCUUUCUUGAGAUGCAGGAGCAUUAAGAGGUCCACAAUAGGAUAGAUGAGUUAUCUGGCCAUCUACUGCUCUCUCCCACUUUCUUGCUCUCUUUUUUCUUUUUCUAGUUGUCUCACAAGCUGUUUGUGCAGCUUUCCCGCAGUUCAGAAGGCCUUGUGUUAGAUCAGGUGUUGCUGAGCUCUUUGAAUAUUUACACAAUUAGAUGCUUUAGAGCGAAGGUCAGCUCAUGGGUCAGAAACGGGUCACAGAUUUCUUAAAACAAAAAUCGCUUAUGAUUUAGAAAUAUUAUUAAUGAUUGAAAAACAUUUUCCUGCAAAAUAUCGAUAGCAUCAACAUAACGCAGGAAGACAUUUGUUAUCAUGUGACAAGGCAUUAAACUGCUACUUAAAGAUGAAAAUUCUGUCAUCGUUUAUUUACCCUCAGAUUGUUCACCUGUAAGAAUUUAUUUUUUCUGUUGAAUACAGAAGAAGAUAUUUUUAAGGAUUUGUUGGUAAACAAAUUGUUGAUGGGCAUUGACUUACAUAGUAUGAAAAAAAAAAUUACUAUGGAAGUCAGAGGGAACCAGAAACAUUUUUCAAAAUUUCCUCUUUUGUGUUCAACAGAACACACGUACUUACAAUGCUUACAUAAUAUUCAUGACUUUUUUUUCCAGAUAUGAGAAAUAUUUGUAUUUUAUUUUGUUUUAUUUACUUGUUACUUUUUGGAGCCAUUAAAUCUUUUUUGUUUUGUUUUGUGUUUAGUCCCACUGUCAUAUGAACAAGAUUCUUUUCAUAUUAAACUGUAAUAUAAAUAUUUUGGGUGAUAAAUUAUUUCAAUUCACUGGCAGGUGUAGACACUGAGUUUUUGUGAUAAUGUAUUCAUUAUAUUUUAAUGUAACACACACACACACAUGCUGUUUAUAAUCUACACAAAGCAAACAUUUUCCAUCUCAGACCAGCCAAUUCUUCAGUUCAUGGAAAUUUCCGAUAUGAAAAACGUAUUCUCUGUUAAUACUGCCACAUGUUUUUAUCAGCACUUAAACACCCUCUUUGUUUUUUGCAAACAAGACUCUGUUUCCUAAAACAUUUGCACCCUCAUCCCUUCUACACUCAAAAACAUAUUAACAAUUUCACCGGGUGCAUGUGAACAAUAACCACUGCUAGAGAGAGAGAGAGAGAGAGAGAGAGAGCUGCCUGUGCAUCUCCAUUCAAGCAGACAUGAAGCUGGAGCACUGACAGCAGCAUUCAUAAGGUUUCAAUAUCUGAAAGGUUCCCCCCUCCUUCUCUAUAGUGUCAUGUAAUACAAAACUGUGGGAGACUAUAAAAAUAUUAGCAUGUGAAACAUUAAAACUAAUUCCACUUUUCCUGGUCACAUUAACACACCAUAUCUGGCUGCCUCCUCUUGACCUUUUGGUCUAUUCGAUACAAUAAUUUUCUUUUUUCUUUUCUUUUUUUCUAAGGGAAAUGGAUAGACAUGUUCUCUGAGGUGUGUGUGUGUGUCUAAGUAUAAGACAAAUGUGGACAAGCACUGUAAAACAAAAUCCUUACUCUGUUCUUAAAAAACAAAGAAAUCUGAUACUGAUUGAGCUUCUGUUUGUAUAUAAGUAACAUAUUUGAAACUAUAUUUUAAAAUAGUUACUAAUGCAAGAUGAUAUAAUAAGGGCCUGUGUUUGAAUAUUGGUAAGGCCUGUGCCUGUGUUGUAAUGUGUGUUUUUUUCCAGCCAAAUAAAAAUCUAAAUACUGGCCAAGUGAAUGUAAAUUGUUUUUGGUCGUAGCUUUAGAUUCGAGAACAAUUUCAUGAAGGC
Long non-coding RNA from Onychostoma macrolepis, 2619 nucleotides. RefSeq lists it as uncharacterized. The transcript has 3 exons. NCBI's taxonomy places the organism in Eukaryota, Metazoa, Chordata, Actinopteri, Cypriniformes, Cyprinidae. The record is from RefSeq and is a predicted model, not a curated record.